RNA transcript from Adelges cooleyi (spruce gall adelgid), 863 nucleotides. RefSeq lists it as uncharacterized. The record is from RefSeq and is a predicted model, not a curated record. The transcript has 4 exons. NCBI's taxonomy places the organism in Eukaryota, Metazoa, Arthropoda, Insecta, Hemiptera, Adelgidae.
UUAAAACUUUAUUUGAUUGAAAAAAUAUUGUAUUUUUUUUUUUUACACGUUUUGAUUUGUGUGGUAAGAAAAUCGCUUUUUUUAAUUCACUUGAAGUUUAAACGCGUAUUUUUAAAGCUUUAAAGAAGAGCUCUAGAAAAGGAAAUGAAUGUGAAAUACAUUUUUCUUUUAUGUUUCACAAUACAUUUCUUGGUAAUUACAAAUGUUGCUGGUGAGCCCAACCCAGAAAAACAGGUUAUAGACGUAGUUUACGAUGCAGCUAUAAAGCAUUUAGACCGCGGUUCACUUACUGCGGGUCAGUUGGUGAAAAUGUUGGGGAGCAAUGCAUCAUUAUUAACGCAGUAUUCGUCAGAAAAACGAUUGUCUUCGAAGGAAACAGUAAACAUAAGUCGAGAUCUAUUCGAGAAAAUUGUGAAGUACGUAAGCGAAAAAACGGGCAAGACAGUAUCAGAAGUUGUGUCAUCAUUCAAGUGACAGAAUGAUUCAAUACGUUAUGUAUUACGGCUACUAUUAUUGUUAAUACUAUAUUAGAUAGUUGAUAAAUAAGUUAACAUUCGGUUAAGUUGACAUUAUCAAUCAUCCAAUAUUUAACGUUCAUUCUCAUUUUCUAUGUAUUACAGAUUUUUGGGAAAUAUUUUCAUUGUGUGGUUAUUAUCUGGUAUUCAAAAAAUUAUAAAUCCAGUAUAGGAUUACUACCUACACCUACCAAGUCUAUCCCUAGUCUAUAGAUAACUAGUCUAUAUAUAACUAGAUAAACAUAAUUUAAUAAAAAAGUUAUAGACAAAUUAAGUCGCUUUCUGAUUUUAAAAAUGUAUUCAUUCGACUUUUUAAUUAAACAAUUUGUUUUCAAACAACAGUUUAUA